GUGAAUCAUCGAAUUUUUGAACGCAAAUUGCACUCUCUGGUAUUCCGGAGAGUAUGCCUGUUUGAGGGUCAGUUUAAAUAAAAAUCGGUGCGGUUGCUGCCUUUCGUGGUGACGCACCGGAUGUGGGUCGUCUUGCCUUCGGUUAAGUGACCUAAAUUUUUCAUGAUUUUUUCGGACGGAUUUAAAUGAUUUUACGUACGGUUGCGGUAUUGAAUUCUUGGUUCC
RNAcentral lists this unclassified non-coding RNA (225 nucleotides) under Glomeraceae sp. Its description in RNAcentral is "partial contains 5.8S ribosomal RNA and internal transcribed spacer 2". The stretch from base 1 to 71 matches the Rfam family "5.8S ribosomal RNA", at positions 84 to 154 of the family's 154-position model. The record is from RNAcentral. Lineage: Eukaryota; Fungi; Glomeromycota; Glomeromycetes; Glomerales; Glomeraceae.